GGCAGAGGAUGAGACAAACAAAGACAAAGACAAGCAUAUGUCUGAUUCAUUAAGAAGAGAAACCUUUUAUGUCUGAUGCU
RNAcentral lists this small nucleolar RNA (80 nucleotides) under Komagataella phaffii GS115. RNAcentral's name for it is "small nucleolar RNA SNORD27". Lineage: Eukaryota; Fungi; Ascomycota; Pichiomycetes; Pichiales; Pichiaceae. The record is from RNAcentral.